UAGGGAAUCUUCGGCAAUGGACGAAAGUCUGACCGAGCAACGCUACGUGAGUGAAGAAGGUUUUCGGAUCGUAAAACUCUGUUGUUAGAGAAGAACAAGGACGUUAGUAACUGAACGUCCCCUGACGGUAUCUAACCAGAAAGCCACGGCUAACUACGUGCCAGCAGCCGCGGUAAUACGUAGGUGGCAAGCGUUGUCCGGAUUUAUUGGGCGUAAAGCGAGCGCAGGCGGUUUCUUAAGUCUGAUGUGAAAGCCCCCGGCUCAACCGGGGAGGGUCAUUGGAAACUGGGAGACUUGAGUGCAGAAGAGGAGAGUGGAAUUCCAUGUGUAGCGGUGAAAUGCGUAGAUAUAUGGAGGAACACCAGUGGCGAAGGCGGCUCUCUGGUCUGUAACUGACGCUGAGGCUCGAAAGCGUGGGGAGCAAACAGG
Molecule: ribosomal RNA, 429 nt
Filed under: Gemmatimonadota bacterium
Lineage: Bacteria; Pseudomonadati; Gemmatimonadota
Description: Gemmatimonadetes bacterium partial 16S ribosomal RNA
Rfam family: Bacterial small subunit ribosomal RNA
Source: RNAcentral